GCAGGAGAGCCUGAGGAGAGGAAGUAAAAGAACAUUUCACCCUCCUGGGUAGGACUUGUGAAAUAUUAAAAGUUCUCCUAGCUGAAGAGGGACAAGAAGAUCCUUCUUUACAACAUCAGCAAAUGGAAGUCAUUUAAACCAGAUGAGCGACAGGCUGGGGAAUUGGCAUACCUACAGCACAGGAUACACAGAACCAUGCACCUAUUUCAAGAGAAUGAAGAGUGGGUGGCCGGAAGAGAGAAACUCUCUCCCCCAUUUAACCUGUAAUUUGACAACAUCUGUGAAGAAUUAUCCCCAGCAUUGGCAUUGUAAUUGUUGUAUCUACCAUCAAUCACCAGGGAGGGGAGAUUACUUGAAAUAGAUGUUAACAGCAUUAUAGUUUAACAACAUGAAAGCAAAAAAAAUGAGAGGAACGAGAUCUGUAAUACUGCCCAAAUUCAUCAGGGAGCUUGAAAGAUGCUAAAUUUCUUAACACAAAGAACCUGAAUUCUCAACAAACCUGGAUAUACAGAAGCAGAGCUCAUUAACCAGCUGCUCUCCAUUUACCUGUAUCUGAUAUGCUGAGGAAAUAUUUACUUGGUUUUGGAGUGCUGAUUUUUAGAUAAAUACUUACUUUAA
This is a long non-coding RNA of Sciurus carolinensis (gray squirrel), 618 nucleotides long. RefSeq lists it as uncharacterized. The transcript is spliced from 3 exons. Lineage: Eukaryota; Metazoa; Chordata; Mammalia; Rodentia; Sciuridae. The record is from RefSeq and is a predicted model, not a curated record.